UACGUAGGGUGCGAGCGUUAAUCGGAUUUACUGGGCGUAAAGCGUGCGCAGGCGGCCCGUUAAGACAGGUGUGAAAUCCCUGGGCUCAACCUAGGAAUUGCGCUUGUGACUGGCGGGCUCGAGUACGGUAGAGGGGGGUGGAAUUCCUGGUGUAGCAGUGAAAUGCGUAGAGAUCAGGAGGAACACCGAUGGCGAAGGCAGCACCCUGGGCCUGUACUGACGCUCAUGCACGAAAGCGUGGGGAGCAAACAGG
This 253-nucleotide ribosomal RNA is filed under the name uncultured microorganism. RNAcentral's name for it is "partial 16S ribosomal RNA". It matches the Rfam family "Bacterial small subunit ribosomal RNA", at positions 524 to 776 of the family's 1533-position model. The record is from RNAcentral.